GCGGGGGUCGCAUAGCCUGGCCAAUUGCGUCGGACUUAAGAUCCGAUCCUUAGUGGUACGAGGGUUCGAAUCCCUCCCCCCGCACCA
Molecule: transfer RNA, 87 nt
Filed under: Methanobacteriota archaeon
Lineage: Archaea; Methanobacteriati; Methanobacteriota
Also listed under: 2 other names
Description: Euryarchaeota archaeon tRNA-Leu
Rfam family: tRNA
About the family: Transfer RNA (tRNA) molecules are approximately 80 nucleotides in length.
Source: RNAcentral